AAACAAUGAACUACUGCUUAAUGGAACAAUCGUAAUCACACCUGUUUAGAAGUUAAUGUGGUACGGUAUAGUGGAUCAUAAUCAAGUUCUUAAAGUAAAAUCUUCUAGUAAACACAAUGAAGAGUAGAGCGGUAAUAAAUAUCAAAAUUUACUGUCUUCUUUUACAAUAUGCAAAUUCUCAAUAUCCCGAAGUCUACAGUGGAAUUCAACAAGGAUACCAACAUCCCUACCAAAACAUUGCUUAUUCACAAUACUCCAAUCAAAGAACUUAUAAUAACUAUGACAACAAUAAAUGGAUACAAGGAAACUACGAAGACUACAACGAUUAUGUAGAAGAGAUUUGUGUCUGUGAUAAAUGUGAUGAAACCAUCACUAAACCAGCCUGUAGAAAUGUGUGUCCAAAUUGUUUUAACACACCGCCUCCUAUACCAAGUUACGUAUUUCUUCCUUUCCUAUAUCCAUAUCCAAUGACUCCUAAUACAACUGCUGCCCCAGUUCCACAAACUAUUGAUACUACUACAGCUUCAACUGUUGAAAAUACAAUAACAACAACAGAAGCAAGUACUACAGAAAUGAAGACUAUAGAAAUAAAGACAGGAACAGUUAAAACAAUUACAAUAGAAACUUCCACACCUCCUAAUGCUUUACCAGAAGAUAACAAUGAUGUAUUAAAAGACAAAUCUCUUUUCAACAUAAAAGAUAAAGGUCAAUACACACUUACAUCACUAAGACGAACUAAACCUAAUUGGUUACCGAAAUAUGGUAUGGUACCAAUUUCAGAUACAUUUGCAGAGAAAUUGAUGUUACAGCUUAGAAGUAUGAGAGUGUUACACCCACAGAAAGAUAAUAUGAGAAACACUGAUGAAAUAACUCCGUCAUAUUAGAUUUUUAACGCUUUUAAAUGUUUGCGUUUUCUAUUUUUUGAUAAACUUGUUAUACCCAAUAUACUUAAACGUCGAUAUUUAAGUUGGAGAUCCAGAAAGCUAGGUUGUUAAUUUAUGCUACAAAAAAUAUUGAAAAGAAAAGUUACAAAUGUAAAAUUGUUAUAAGUAUUGAAAAGUGUUUACAACUAUACCUAACCACUGCGAUUGUUCUUAUAACCGCCAUACCGAUAGGUAAAAUCAGCUUACCUACUUUAUGAAACAACUGCAAUAUUUUUGUUAUUUACAUAAAAGUACUACAAUUUUUUUUAUUAUUGAGCACUUUGCCAUAAAAUGUUAUAAUAAAGGCUUACAUGAAAAUUGUUGAUGUGUACUUUGAAUCACGGUCUAAAAUCAAGGAUUUGUUUUUAAUUCAAAUUUAGUAUAAUUUUAAUUUAAAGUUAAGUGUGAAAAUGUAGCGGAAUAAUAAGCUAUGAACUUGAUUAUCAUACUUGAAAUUCUAAUUUUAUUUCAAAAAGUAUUAAAUCAGUACGCCCCAGACCAGAUCUAUCAUCUGUCCCAACAAUACACUCAAGCAGCCUACUACCUACCAUCGCAAAACGAGGAGUACAGUUGGACGGAAGGAAAUCAUAUCAAAACCCGAAAAACGCGUAGAAAAAGAAAGAAACACAAUGAUUACUACAUUAGUGCUGAACUAGAUUACGAUCCUAGAAGAUUACAAUGCAAAUGCAAAUGUAAAAGAAAGUAUGAUACUAAACCUGUACCAGAGUAUGACCAAAAUUAUCCGUGUUGUCCUUGUGAUAGUAAACCUGAUGCUGGUAAUGAAUAUUUACCGCCUCAAUAUCCUGAUGCGGAAACUAAUGGAAUCGGCAUACCAACUCAAUUCCCAUAUCCUGUCGAUAGCGGAAUCUAUACCCCAGCUACAUAUCCACCAAUUAUAUACCAUACAUUCGAUCUGACUGAAUUAGGAAAAGUGUUUCCUUGGUUAACAACAAAAGCAGAUAGUAAUGGCCAGACAGAUAAAGACAAAGCGAGUACAAAAUAUGAUAAAGACAAGUCUAGUAAAAGCGAUGAUAAGGACAAACCGACUACAGGAGACGACAGGGACAUAAAAGAUAAAUCUAGUACAAGCGAAGAUAAGCAGAAAGCUACUACAAGAGACGACAGGGACAAAAUAGACAAGUCUAGCAAAAGCGAUGAUAAGGACAAAACUACUUCAAGAGACGAUAGGGUCAGAACUAGUGAAGAAGUAACUACCACAAUAGACGAUAGAGACAAACCUGGCAAAGAUGAAAAAGACAAAACCAGUACAAAAGAAAAACCUCCGGAAAAAAGUUCUCCUAGAACUGAAGAAAGCACUACAAGCACUACAACUGAGCCUACAAUUUCUACUUAUCCUUACAUGGUAAGUGAAAAUU
Molecule: RNA transcript, 2299 nt
Organism: Maniola jurtina (meadow brown)
Lineage: Eukaryota; Metazoa; Arthropoda; Insecta; Lepidoptera; Nymphalidae
Exons: 4
Source: RefSeq, a predicted model, not a curated record